UACGUAGGUGGCAAGCGUUACUCGGAAUCACUAGGCGUAAAGCGCAGGUAGGCGGUUUGAUAAGUCUCUUGUGAAAGCUCCCGGACUCAACUGGGAGAGGUCAAGGGAAACUGUCAGGCUAGAGUGUGGCAGAGAGCUAGAAUUCCCGGUGUAGCGGUGAAAUGCGCAGAUAUCAGGAGGAACACCGGUGGCGAAGGCGGGUCUCUGGCAACACUGACUGAGGAGCGAAAGCGUGGGGGAGCGAAAC
Molecule: ribosomal RNA, 247 nt
Filed under: uncultured bacterium
Lineage: Bacteria
Description: partial 16S ribosomal RNA
Rfam family: Bacterial small subunit ribosomal RNA
Source: RNAcentral